CAGCUAUUCAGGGACCCUUUUGGAUAUGACGCGCUGUGGCUCCGGGUGAGCGGGGCGCCAGGGGUAAUUUGCUGGGGGUAAGGGGCCAGGGCAUAUUUAAGUCCAAAUACCCUUGAAAUAUCAAAAGACACCUGAUAUCGCAACAUUUCUGUGUAUUUACUGCUGCCAAAAUUUUAGUAAAAUGUAUUUGGAGGUGCAUAUCAGACAUACAAUAGAGGGCCACAUUAGUUUUGCUGUACAGUUCAGUGGGUCCAUUAAUUGUACACAAGUAUGCGAACAGCUUAGUCACAUUUUUAAAUUAAGUAAGACAGAGCACAUUGAUUACAAAUCAUUUUGUUUUUAUAGGACACUCUUACAUAUACGUAUCUGAUUUGUAAAACGAAGGAUCCCUUGCAUGUCUGUCUCUAUUAAAUUCAUUAUGUUCUUGACGUGCCACAAUUAUUAAUGCAUUAAUAGCUUUGUUGACUGUCAACAGGUACAAGCCAUCUCAUCAGUAGUUUCCACUGUCAUUCUCUCAGGCAGAGCUACUCAAAUGAAAGUGAAGGUAGAUGCUAACACACUUUCAUACAUAGCAUGAGAAAAGCACAAUUUCAUUCAGUGAGUUAAACAGUGUGAAACAGCAAAUGCAGUGGUAUGUUUGAUGUAGAGGAGUAGUCUAAUAGUAAUACAUGUAAUGAAUUUGGGAAAUACAGUAUAAUGUAUAUUUUAUGGUUUGCUUCACUGGAAACUAUAAUUGAAUUUCUAAUUUUUUAAAUAAACACAGAGUGAAUUACUUCAAAAUGAUAUAUUAUUGCUUCCUUACCACACACCAGGUCAUUGGGUUAUUGCGGUAAGAUGUUGUGUAUUGUACUAUAAUUUCCCUUGUUGCGGGCCUUCAGUGAGUUCAGUGCAUGCAAAGGAAAGAGGAAUGUGAAUGUUAUAAAAAAUUGCUACUGUCACUUUACAUUGUUCAUGUAUCCUGGAAGAAUACAUUCUGUAAAGAAUUGAUUGAUUUCACAAUAUGCUUAUAUCUUGUGUGUUACUGAGACAUUACAAACGACAAUAUGUUAGUUGCAUAAUGAUUGUUGAUAAAUCAGUAUAAAGUUUUUGAAAAAAUCUCAUUACCAAUAAAAUUUGUGAAUAUAUUGAAACUUACAGAUAGCUUGAUGAAAAAAAAGGAAUUGUUAAUAAUUGACCCCUUGUGUGAUGACAUCAGAUAUGAAAGAACAUGCCUGAGGAAUUGGAGGUGAUUUAUUAGAUACUUACUUUUACAUUGGACAUUAACUGUUCCAUUGAAAUUUUUUUUAAAGGGAAUGUAACAAUAGUGAGACUAAUAUCUUCCUGUUAGCUACAAGUAAACAUUGAAACAGCAUGUACUUCUACUGAAUAUGCUUAAUAAUGGACUUUGAGUGAACUUGUGUGAUUUGACUCUGGGGAAAGACUUCACAGAAUGUGGACACAAAACAGUAGCAUGUUGCAUGUUUGAGAAUGUGUUAUUAUCAACAUGGGGCACAGCAAAUCAGGUGAUACAUUGUGUAAGUGUGAGACAAUAAUAUGAAAACAAGUGUGUAUAUAUAUGAGCAAUAAGUCAUUUCAAUAACUAAUUAAAAAGAGAGAGAAUGGAUUUUUAUCUAUGUCCAGAAACCAGAGGGGGGAAAAAAGGAAAGCAAAGCUCAUUUAUGCAGUCUGCUAAUGUACUCUCUAAAAAUUUCAGAAACUUCAUCAAAUGAUUAACUAGUAAAUCCUCAUCUGAUUGGAACAGUAAAAUUGUUCAGCAUCCCAGACAAAGUGAUGGCCACAACUGCGGACCACUCAUCUUAAAGUUAUUGAAUACCAAAUUGCCAUUAAUAUUGGUUAUGUAUGUUUACUUAUCCAUGUUGAAAGUAAAUGCCAGAGAUUACCAGUGGGCACUGCACUGGUGUCCUUGCCAGGGUGUACGGGGUGCGCUUCUGGCCCCAAGAAGGGAUAGGGUCUCCAGUGGAAGGUGCGGUGCUGGGGGACCAGAUUCUACCAGCCAGCCCUUCCUGACAGCUGCUGCUGCAGUGGCCAGGAGCACCAGGCGCUUGUAAGUCAGCCAUGUACGGGCUGGAACCAGUUGCCAGUUCUUACCGGUACACUGGACCGGCCCACUUUCACCUCUGGUAAUUAUAAUGUGUAUUCUAAAUAUCUGUGUUGUUAGUUUACAGAAACGUAUUUGCAGCACAAAGACAUCAGUGCGGUAGAAACAACACAAGAGGCUAAUACUGCGUUUAGAAGACAUAUAGCAAUUCUUCUAAUGAAGGAGUCAGCGUGGAGGACUACUGCAUAUACUGCAACUUUAUAAACUGUGAAAAAGAAAUUGAGGAUUGCACGAUGGUAAGAAACAUAGGAUUGAAUGAGAAAUAUAUGCCAUAAACUGGCUAAGGAUCAUAAUUCCUGUAAAAAUUCCACAACAAUAAUCAUUUUCUUCAUGCUGAUAGUCAUAUAUUAGGUAACGCUCCCAUGUGGACGGAAUAGCAUGAGUGAAUGCAAAGUAUGUGUAACAUUAUAACUUCUGUGAUUUCAUUUCUUAAUUGUUACUUAUCAAAGGUCCAGUGUGAUUCUUGCAAGACGUGGGCACAUAUACCCUGCAUUGCAGAAGGAACCAAUCAAGAAAACCUGACAGAUGAGAAGAAAGAGUACAACUGCAAGAAAUGUGCAUAGUUCACUUCAUUACCCCC
This is an RNA transcript of Mauremys mutica (yellowpond turtle), 2678 nucleotides long. It is a transcript of the gene named jmjC domain-containing histone demethylation protein 1-like, with no coding region annotated. The transcript has 2 exons. The record is from RefSeq and is a predicted model, not a curated record. Lineage: Eukaryota; Metazoa; Chordata; Testudines; Geoemydidae.